Molecule: long non-coding RNA, 1724 nt
Organism: Triticum dicoccoides
Lineage: Eukaryota; Viridiplantae; Streptophyta; Magnoliopsida; Poales; Poaceae
Exons: 9
Source: RefSeq, a predicted model, not a curated record
UCCGUCGUUCUCCCCUCGCUCCCAAAUUGCCCGGCGGAUCGUCGGAGGGUUCGACACACAGAGGCCCCGCGCCCCCUCCUCGCCACUGCGGCGCUGCCGGUUCCAGCGCUGGCCUCGCCGCUGCCUCCCCUUUCUCUCCCGUGCGCAGCCUCCAGGUACCCCGACGGACCACUCCCAACUGGCUAGCUCUCGGUGCUAGCGUGCGCGCCGCCGCGGCUUCUGACUGUGUACCAGAGGGGUGGGCGAAGCCGAUGCUCGCGCCGGGAGAUCCAAUGCCGCCAAGAUCGACUUCGAAGCGAACAUCGACCAGGUCCAGGUGCGGAUUAGCAGUUUCACAGUGUCAAAAUGGGGAGUGGUUCAGUCAAGCGGACAUUGGGGUUCUGAAUUUGGUGCGUCUGCUGUUGCAGAGGACAGACUUGGCUGAUGAGCAGCACAAGGGUGACAUUUGGUAGCUCUUCAGCGAGUUCAAUGCUGCUUGGUAUUGCCACAGAAACAACACAACCAUCAAGUUUUUAUGUGUUGGUUCUGCGUAUAGAUGCACUAGCCAUUUCUGAAGGAUCGGCAUGGCAAAAACAUCUGAUUCAAGAAAGAAAGUUGCCGAAAAUGGAAGCAUGAUAUAAAGUUCCUUCCGUGAUACUCAUCACAAGCCAGAUAAUGAACUGCUCUCAGAAUUGCGACUCUUUCUGGGUACACCGAUAGAGUAUGCUAACACUUUCUGCAAUGUACUUCCAGGCCAUUACUGUGUCUCUUAUUAGUCAAAUUAACCUUGGCGGGCAGAUGGCAAUCAUAUAUGAAUCUGCACCGGUACAGAUAAAUUUUCCAAGUGAUUGAUCCAGAAACACAAUGAAGGCACAAAGAAUACACCUGACCAAGCAGCCAAACCAAAAGGCAAACGAACAAGAAAAGCUAAAAGACUGUACACAAGCACUAGGCUACAACAGAAGCUCAUAUUAUGGAUCAACAUAAGUUUUCAGAUCAGUUGAUUGACAUUUAUGUCGUAACUUACGGCUCAGAGCUUUAAUUUACUUGUAACCAGGCAAUCUUUCAGUCAUGACUACUACAAUACAGCUUUAUCCGAGCACAUCAUCUCUACAUAUGAAGACAUGUCUCUUUCUCAAGCUCUUGACGAUAUUAAUGACUGUUCGCAGUGGGAUUUGCGGAUGAAGGAUGCAUUGGCAAACGGUUUAUCAUGGGACGCUGCAUGCUAUGGCAUACAUUGGGAGGCUUAUCCCUAUGGCAUACAUUGGGAAGCUUAUUCCUUUAUAAGGAAGCUCUGAGAUCACGGAAGUUCAUGUCAGACUAUCCCUCCAAAUGAAAAGGAAUAGUGAACUUGGGCUCCUGCCUGUCAACGAGCAGAAAUAUUUGGUCUCUCUGAAUCUCUGCCCCUGUUGAGAGUGCAUACAGGCUCGACAGUAGUUGCGUCGCAGGAAUAAUGAACAUGAACUCUUUGCCUGUCAGCGAGAAGAAAUAUUUCUGUCCCACUGAAUCUCUGAUCCCGUUGAGGGCGCACACAGGCUCGACGACGGUCACAGGGAGCGUUGGGAGGAAGGGGCGGGAGCUUGAAACCAGGCACGGGCGCGAUGAACUUGCCUUCCUCCCUGCUGGGGUCGCGGCGCCGCCUUUCCUCGCCUGAUACAAUAUGUGUAAAAACAUCAGCAUAAGGGUACAUUCAAGAAUAUCCGCAUCAGGGAACUGACAAUUAUAGGUAGAUUAGUUACCAAUGC